UUNCAGCACAAGCAGUUAUAGUUGGUGGUC
Molecule: non-coding RNA, 30 nt
Filed under: Mus musculus (house mouse)
Lineage: Eukaryota; Metazoa; Chordata; Mammalia; Rodentia; Muridae
Source: RNAcentral